RNAcentral lists this long non-coding RNA (812 nucleotides) under Lactuca sativa (garden lettuce). Its description in RNAcentral is "long non-coding RNA (LSAT_LNC003069)". The record is from RNAcentral. Lineage: Eukaryota; Viridiplantae; Streptophyta; Magnoliopsida; Asterales; Asteraceae.
AAGUUGUUCAUAUGACUCGGCGAGUCGGAUGAAGAUUGUCUGAGUUCUUGGAUCGAGAGGGCACUCGUCGAGUCGAUGCCAUUCUCGACGAGUAGCCACGAGUAGGGUUGAGAAGUGAGACUGGAGACUCGGCGAGUUGGCGGCCCAACUCGGCAAGUCAGGUCAACUGUGGGUUGACUUUGACCGAGAGUGUUGACUUUGACCAGGGGUAAAAGAGUCAUUUUACCCAAUACAGUGAUUAGCAUCUGAUUGAGUGUGUUAUGGAAUUGUAGCCGGGGAGAUACCGGAGCAGCAGCAGUUAGUUUCCAGAGCCAUACACACAGCAGCCAGUUCACGAGGUGAGUUUCCUUCUAGUAGGUACGGGUCUGAGGCUACCACGCCGGCCCGUUCAGUCAGCUGUAGUUUCAAGACUUCGGUCCAAUACAGAAGUUAGUAUGUUUGAUGCCUCCUUGGCUCAGGGAGGAUUUAAUUUUUUUUGCUAGUUGAUAUGUUAUGCUAUACUGUGUUCAGUCAGUCAGCUUCGGACUCCGGUUCGAUGUAGGGGACAAGGUCCCAAUCAGUCAGCUUCGGGCUUCGGCCCGAUGCAGGGGUCAAGGUCCCAGUCAGUCAGCUUCGGACUCCGGUCCGAUGUAGGGGACAAGGUCCCAGUCAGUCAGCUUCGGACUUCGGUCCGAUGUAGGGGACAAGGUCCCAGACAGUUAGCUUCAGACCUCGGUUCGAUGGAGGGGGCAAGGCCCCGUAUGUGUUUUAUAUGUUAUUGCAUGGUAUUUGGUAGUUUGGGGGAGCUCACUAAGCUUUGUGCUUACAGUUUC